AUGCCAGGUGUAUCGAGGGAACUCACUGAGCACACUAUUAAUGUGGAUCCCAAGUUUAAGCCGGUCAAGCAGUUUCUUCGUCAGUUUAAUGAGGAGAGGCGCAAGGCAAUUGGUGAAGAGGUGGCCCGGCUCUUGGCAGCAGGGUUCAUCAUUGAAGUUUUUCAUCCUGAGUGGUUGGCUAACCCGGUGCUAGUACUUAAGAAAAAUGGCACUUGGCGUAUGUGUGUGGAUUAUACAGACUUUAACAAGGCAUGUCCGGCUGAUCCUUUUGCUCUCCCGCAUAUUGAUCAAAUUAUUGAUGCUACGGCGGGUUGUGAGUGUUUGAGUUUUUUAUAUGCUUACUCUGGUUAUCAUCAGAUCAAAAUGGCAGUUAAGGACCAGGACAAGACAACUUUCAUCACUCCCUUUGGAGCCUUCUGCUAUGUGUCUAUGCCUUUUGGGUUCAAGAGUGCCCAGGCGACUUACCAACGGUGUGUUCAGAAUUGCCCUCAUGGCCAGAUUGGGCACAAUGUUCAUGCUUAUGUGGAUGAUAUUGUUGUGAAAUCCAGGAAGAAGGAAACAUUGAUUGAGGAUCUGAAAGAGACCUUUGACAAUCUCCGGGUCUACAAGAUGAUGCUUAACCCGACCAAGUGUGUUUUUGGCGUGCCAGUAGGCAAGUUAUUGGGUUUCCUGGUUUCUGAGAGGGGCAUUGAGGCUAACCCGGAGAAGAUCAGGGCUAUCACCUCUUUGGCUAAGUCGGUGUGUAUCAAUGACGUCCAACAUUUGGCGGGUCGUAUCGCGGCUUUGAGCCGGUUUAUAAGCCACCUGGGAGAGAAGGCUAUCCCUUUUGUAUCAGAUGAUGAAAAAGACCGAUGA
Molecule: ribosomal RNA, 855 nt
Filed under: Triticum aestivum (bread wheat)
Lineage: Eukaryota; Viridiplantae; Streptophyta; Magnoliopsida; Poales; Poaceae
Description: partial small subunit ribosomal RNA
Source: RNAcentral